This 463-nucleotide ribosomal RNA is filed under the name Streptococcus mitis. RNAcentral's name for it is "bacterial SSU rRNA". It matches the Rfam family "Bacterial small subunit ribosomal RNA", at positions 28 to 475 of the family's 1533-position model. Lineage: Bacteria; Bacillati; Bacillota; Bacilli; Lactobacillales; Streptococcaceae. The record is from RNAcentral.
GACGAACGCUGGCGGCGUGCCUAAUACAUGCAAGUAGAACGCUGAAGGAGGAGCUUGCUUCUCCGGAUGAGUUGCGAACGGGUGAGUAACGCGUAGGUAACCUGCCUGGUAGCGGGGGAUAACUAUUGGAAACGAUAGCUAAUACCGCAUAAGAGUAGAUGUUGCAUGACAUUUGCUUAAAAGGUACAAUUGCAUCACUACCAGAUGGACCUGCGUUGUAUUAGCUAGUUGGUGGGGUAACGGCUCACCAAGGCGACGAUACAUAGCCGACCUGAGAGGGUGAUCGGCCACACUGGGACUGAGACACGGCCCAGACUCCUACGGGAGGCAGCAGUAGGGAAUCUUCGGCAAUGGACGGAAGUCUGACCGAGCAACGCCGCGUGAGUGAAGAAGGUUUUCGGAUCGUAAAGCUCUGUUGUAAGAGAAGAACGAGUGUGAGAGUGGAAAGUUCACACUGUGACGG